Molecule: long non-coding RNA, 1120 nt
Filed under: Sinocyclocheilus anshuiensis
Lineage: Eukaryota; Metazoa; Chordata; Actinopteri; Cypriniformes; Cyprinidae
Description: lncRNA (ENSSANG00000038582.1)
Source: RNAcentral
GAUCUACUGAAAGGUGUGGUUAGGUGGAGCAUGUAAAAGGAAAGGAGAUUAGACGGUGUGUGUGUACACUGUGUAAGAGAGAAAGCGAACCAGAAAAAUAGGCAGAAAGUCAUGGACACAGCAAGCAGAAGAAACAAAAUUAAAAACAACAACACUGUGGACUUUGGAUUUUUCACAGAUGAAAAGUUGUUUGACUUUUUCUGCCAAAACAAGACAAAGAUGUCUACAAUAGAAGAGCCGUUGAUGUUUCUCCGACAUCUCAAGGACAAUAGACUCAUUACAGAUGAGCUUUAUCAAAAGCUUGAGAACACUGGUGAUGAUAAUGGUGUGUAUUGUGCAUUGGAUUAUAUUGAAAAACGUCGAAAGAAGAAUGUUAGAAAGUACUGGGAAUGUGUGGCCCAGGAGCAUAUAUUACAGCGUUACUCUCAACUCUCUGACAUCACUGCAGCUCUGAUGAACUCUCUUAAGAGUCAGCCAAAGAAAAAAAUAAGAGAAAGAGUUGAGGAUCGAGGCACAGGAAAAGAAAGAGAGGUUAAAAAGAGAAGGACAGAGAGCAACUCUGUGAGUGACCAAGCUGGACCAUCAUCACAAAGCAUUAGCAGCCAGAGGACGACAGAUAAACACGUGGAGAGAGAUCUUCAGAGCUCUUCAGACUCCAGCACAGAAUUGUCGUUUUUCCGUCCGUCCUUGCAUAGUAAAGCAGAGGAUCUUUGGAACAUGGAUAAACACAAGAAAAUGCUUCCUGUCACAUGUGGGAAUAAAAAGGCCUUAUUGGACAGAAAAGCAUUGUAUAAAAGAAAGAGGGACUGCAUUAAAUGUGGCAGAGAAAUGAUCUCCCCUUAUAUGUUUGAGGAAAUGGGUGGAAAAGAAUCAUGCAAGUCCUGGAAAACAAGUAUAUUAUGCCAAGGCACAACCCUCAAGAGUCUCAUUGAGAUGAAUAUUUUGAAGAUACCCAAACUUAAUGGAAAAUUUACCCUUCGUAAAUUAUAUAAAUGAUAUGUGCAUCACAUUAUUUAGCAUUUUCAAUCAGUCAAUAUACUGAGCUUACGAAUCCACUAAUUUUUCCACUUUUAAUAAAGUCAGUCAAUGAAUGAAAAGUGUUAGUGUGAAAUAAAGCUUC